AGCUUGCUUUCUUGCUGACGAGUGGCGGACGGGUGAGUAAUGCUUGGGAAUCUGGCUUAUGGAGGGGGAUAACGACGGGAAACUGUCGCUAAUAUCGCGUAGAGUCGAGAGACGAAAGUGUGGGACCGCAAGGCCGCAUGCCAUAGGAUGAGCCCAAGUGGGAUUAGGUAGUUGGUAGGGUAAAGGCCUACCAAGCCGACGAUCUCUAGCUGGUCUGAGAGGAUGACCAGCCACACCGGGACUGAGACACGGCCCGGACUCCUACGGGAGGCAGCAGUGGGGAAUAUUGCGCAAUGGGGGCAACCCUGACGCAGCCAUGCCGCGUGAAUGAAGAAGGCCUUCGGGUUGUAAAGUUCUUUCGGUGACGAGGAAGGCGUGAUGUUUAAUAGGCAUCACGAUUGACGUUAAUCACAGAAGAAGCACCGGCUAACUCCGUGCCAGCAGCCGCGGUAAUACGGAGGGUGCGAGCGUUAAUCGGAAUAACUGGGCGUAAAGGGCACGCAGGCGGCUAUUUAAGUGAGGUGUGAAAUCCCCGGGCUUAACCUGGGAAUUGCAUUUCAGACUGGGUAGCUAGAGUACUUUAGGGAGGGGUAGAAUUCCACGUGUAGCGGUGAAAUGCGUAGAGAUGUGGAGGAAUACCGAAGGCGAAGGCAGCCCCUUGGGAAUGUACUGACGCUCAUGUGCGAAAGCGUGGGGAGCAAACAGGGUUAGAUACCCUGGUAGUCCACGCUGUAAACGCUGUCGAUUUGGGGAUUGGGCUUUAAGCUUGGUGCC
RNAcentral lists this ribosomal RNA (774 nucleotides) under uncultured Haemophilus sp. RNAcentral's name for it is "bacterial SSU rRNA". It matches the Rfam family "Bacterial small subunit ribosomal RNA", at positions 73 to 846 of the family's 1533-position model. Lineage: Bacteria; Pseudomonadati; Pseudomonadota; Gammaproteobacteria; Pasteurellales; Pasteurellaceae. The record is from RNAcentral.